This is a long non-coding RNA of Coffea arabica (coffee), 856 nucleotides long. RefSeq lists it as uncharacterized. The record is from RefSeq and is a predicted model, not a curated record. Lineage: Eukaryota; Viridiplantae; Streptophyta; Magnoliopsida; Gentianales; Rubiaceae.
UUUUGUUUGUUCAUUUUGGUCAAACUCUGAUCAACCCGCGACUCUCUUCUCUUCCCUCUCUCCUCUGAGCAGAAAGUACCAAUCUUUCUCUGCAAUUUAAUCACAACCACAGGAAUCCAAAACCCUUUAUUGGAACUCACCGUUCAUCUCCAUUCUUACGCAUGGUUUCCUGUAGAUGGUACUGUUUUAGCUGAUGGGGGGUCAUGGGACCAUACACAGCUUCAAAUGUCAUCACAUACCGUAGCCAUCGAAAGAAGUCUUCAACCAGUUAAUUAUAUGUUACUAAUCCAUUUUCAUACUUUUUCUUUUGCAAGUUAGUUAAGUGGAACAAAGAAUUCAAAGCAAUCUGUACUAGUACAACAAUUGAGAAGCUCAUUAUGGCAUGCAGAGGUAGAGCAAGAGCACAAAGGAUAGUUCCCUUCCUGCUGCUUCUCAUCCAUGAUUGUUUGUUCCAGUCUUUCCAAUAAGAACGGAAUAUUUUUGGGUCAACUGAGGGAAAAGCAUCGAAUCCGCAGUAUUGUGCAACCAGGAAAAUGGAGGUGUUUCUUGCAAACAUGAGCAGUUACAAUUCUCUGGGACUGGAAGAAGAGACAAAAAGAAAUAACUGAAACCGGUGGAGAGGCCUGCGAUGCCAGUGCAUAUCUUUUAUUUGCUGGACGAUGAUCACAAGUCAUCAGAUUGUUCUUUUCUUCUAAAGCAGAGGAUAGAUUGUGUAGGAUAAAAGAUUUAAUGUAGUGGAAACCUGUUUAUUGGAAACAUAUCAUCACAAUUCUUCUUCAACUUUUUAUCGUGUAACAGGGGCAGCCAUCUUCCAAUAUCUGAAUCAAAAUCCCGCCUCCAUAUUCAUUCUCAUUCA